RNAcentral lists this ribosomal RNA (585 nucleotides) under uncultured bacterium. RNAcentral describes it as "partial 16S ribosomal RNA". It matches the Rfam family "Bacterial small subunit ribosomal RNA", at positions 355 to 1375 of the family's 1533-position model. The record is from RNAcentral.
UGGGGAAUUUUGGACAAUGGGCGAAAGCCUGAUCCAGCAAUGCCGCGUGUGUGAAGAAGGCCUUCGGGUUGUAAAGCACUUUUGUCCGGAAAGAAAUCCUUGGCUCUAAUACAGUCGGGGGAUGACGGUACCGGAAGAAUAAGCACCGGCUAACUACGUGCCAGCAGCCGCGGUAAUACGUAGGGUGCAAGCGUUAAUCGGAAUUACUGGGCGUAAAGCGUGCGCAGGCGGUUUGCUAAGACCGAUGUGAAAUCCCCGGGCUCAACCUGGGAACUGCAUUGGUGACUGGCAGGCUAGAGUAUGGCAGAGGGGGGUAGAAUUCCACGUGUAGCAGCGAAAUGCGUAGAGAUGUGGAGGAAUACCGAUGGCGAAGGCAGCCCCCUGGGCCAAUACUGACGCUCAUGCACGAAAGCGUGGGGAGCAAACAGGAUUAGAUACCCUGGUAGUCCACGCCCUAAACGAUGUCAACUAGUUGUUGGGGAUUCAUUUCCUUAGUAACGUAGCUAACGCGUGAAGUUGACCGCCUGGGGAGUACGGUCGCAAGAUUAAAACUCAAAGGAAUUGACGGGGUCAUAGCUGUUUCCU